UACGUAGGAUCCAAGCGUUAUCCGGAAUCACUGGGCGUAAAGCGUGCGUAGGUGGCGUGUUAAGUGUGAUGUUAAAUCGUGGGGCUCAACCCUGUCGAUGCAUCGCAUACUGGCAUGCUAGAGGACGGCAGAGGCAAGUGGAAUUGGUAGUGUAGCAGUGAAAUGCGUAGAUAUUACCAGGAACACCAAUGGCGAAGGCAGCUUGCUGGGCCACUCCUGAGCACUGAGGUACGAAAGCGUGGGGAGCGAACAGG
Molecule: ribosomal RNA, 254 nt
Filed under: uncultured bacterium
Lineage: Bacteria
Description: partial 16S ribosomal RNA
Rfam family: Bacterial small subunit ribosomal RNA
Source: RNAcentral